UUGAGCUAAGGGGUUGUGAUGUAAAGGGGAGACCCCAUAUCUUACAACUCUCCGGCUCAAACCCAUUCACGAUUUCAUGGUCCAGAAUUCUGUCCUCUCCCACCCUUCACUCUUCAAAAUUUCAAAUCUCGCCGCCGAGACUCAGCGGCAGCAAACUUGCACUGGACGAGAAGCCGGAGGAUUUCGACUGCGAAGCUAGGGUUCCUGCUCUCGUGUUUUCGAGUUUUUCUCCUGUUCGCCGUUCUCAUCUGAUCUGAGUUUAUUGCUGUUUGCUAUGUGUUGGCUGCAAAUGAAAACCUAAGUCUAGGCGAACAAGGCGGUUGUUAGGUUUUGAGCUAUGCCAGGUGGACGAAAAAGCUGCAAUGGGGUGGUGAACUCAGGUGAGUUGGGCGCUGAUGCGCUUAUCACUUACAGCAGGAAGAAGCGGACCAGAGCAGUUGACGAUGAGUCUAUGAAGGAAUCUCUUGAUAGCACCUAUGAGCAUGAUGUGUUUUCUAGAGUUGGCAGUCACUGGAGAAAUACUUUGGAAUGCAUGCUUCAUCUUCCAGGUGUCGGUGAAGGUGGUGGUAUCAAGAGCUCUAUCCUUGAUGCACUUGAAUCCUGCCCUCCUAGCUUCACCAAGAAGACUAAAAUGAAGGAUAGAUAUACGGGCAACUGUGAAAUUGAGGAUCCACCUGAAAUUAAGGAUGUCCUUCCUGCAUCAGCAGCAGAUGUAUCGAAUAUAAAGUUAGAGGGUCAGCCGGAUAUGAACAAGAGCACUGAAAAGUGUCAAAAGGUUUUGCGGGAAAUUUUUUGUUCAGAGAAUUUUGCUUCCUUGUGUGAUCUAGUAUGUGAAAGUUUUCAGAAUAAAACUGUCAGAAAAUUACUUGACUUCAGCCUGAUAAAUUCAAAUUUGAAAAAUGGAGUAUAUGAACAGUUGCCAGUUUCAUUUCAUGAAGACAUUCAACAGUUGUGGUGCAAGUUUCAAAAAAUUGGUCAAGACAUCCUGCUUCUUUCUAACAGCCUUUCCAAACAGUCCAGGAUUUACUAUGGAAAGCAGGUUGGAGAAAAGCUGGAAUUGGAGGCUAGUGAAGAAAAGUUUGAGGAGAACAUCGAAGGUGUUGCUGAGCUGAAGAACUCCAUGAACUCUUAUGUCAAUGGACAGUUCCCUUUGAGUGAAUCUGGUCGGUCUAAUAAAUUGGAUCAAAGUGAAGCAUCUUGUCUGUGUAAAACCUAUGCUUGUAAGCAGUGUGGCAUUGAAACAGUCGGUGAACACAGGCUUAUAUGUGAUGGCUGUGAAGCAAUAUACCAUUUCUCUUGUGUUGAGCCUUUUAGCCAAGCAGUCCCUUCUCGAACCUGGUACUGUUCUUCUUGUCAUAAAGAUGAAAGCAAAUCACCAGCAGCUGUCAGGGAUAAUCAACUUAAAGGUUUGCACAAAAAUUGGGCCAUCUCUGAUAGGCCUGAAGGUUCUAUGGCGGAGAAAAACAUCAUUAAUAACUUUAAAGAAUGUCAUUGUUUGAAUAAACCAUGUCAAAGUGAGGCCUCUUGUCGGCACAAGGUCCAUACAUGCAAGCACUGCAGCACUGAAGCAAUUGGCGAACACAGCCUUAUAUGUGAUGGAUGUGAGGAAAUUUACCACUUCUCUUGUGUUGAGCCCUUUGGUGAAGAGAUCCCCACUCGAAACUGGUAUUGUGCUUCCUGCCGUGCCGACAGAAAUGAAGCACCGGAACCUGUUAUAGAGAUUGAACAAGAUGGCUUGCACCAGAACUGUUCAGUAUGUGAUAGGCUUGAAUUUUCUGAGGUUGAGAAAGACAUUACUAAUGAUACCAGGGAGAGCUCUGUUUCGAGCAUGGAAUCAGAUGGCCCUCCAGAACCAUCAAGAACUGCCCUGUCACAUUUGUGCAAGCUAUGUGGAACCUGUGAGGACGAGGACAGGAGAUUCCUGACUUGUGGGAACAAUUACUGCCCUUACAAGUACUACCACAUCAGAUGCCUAAGAAACAGCCAGAUUGCUAGUCAGCAUCAGCAAAACAGGCGUUGCUGGUAUUGCCCAUCAUGCCUAUGUAGAGGUUGUCAUUUAGAUCAAGAUGAUUCUGAGAUCGUACUAUGUGAUGGUUGUGAUGAUGCUUACCAUACUUAUUGCAUGAAACCACCCAGAACAUCAGUUCCUAAGGGCCAGUGGUACUGUGUCCAGUGCAACUUGGCUAGGGCCAAGGAAGGAAUACGAAGGCACGAGCAAUGGAUUUUGCAGCAGCAUUGCAAGAAGGACACCUUUCAAACUGUUGAAAAUAAUCGUCCAUUGGAUAUAUUGCUGAAUGCUGUUGAGAAGGUGAGUUCUGAGAAUUGAUGGGCGUAAGGACUAUAUAAACAAGUGUUCACUUGAACUAUGGCCAUGGCCUUGUGAUGAAUUUCUUGCUGGACAUUUUUAUGUGGACAUGGACCGGAAUGCAGCAGGCCCAGACGGCGCGGUCUGAUUCGACUUGUGUGUGGCUUGGAGAACCAAAAGAAUCUAACUUGUUUGAGAAGAUUGUAUUGUUUUUUGUAGUGCAUAACCCUGUUAACCAUCCUCUUUUCAAGGUCACAUCUGUUUCGUCGAUCUUUGCCUUUUGUUCUGGAAGUAAUUAUUUGCUCUACUGGUAGAUAGAUUGCAACUA
Dendrobium catenatum is the source of this 2633-nucleotide RNA transcript. It is a transcript of the gene named PHD finger protein EHD3, with no coding region annotated. The transcript has 8 exons. The record is from RefSeq and is a predicted model, not a curated record. Lineage: Eukaryota; Viridiplantae; Streptophyta; Magnoliopsida; Asparagales; Orchidaceae.